Fundulus heteroclitus (mummichog) is the source of this 214-nucleotide long non-coding RNA. RefSeq lists it as uncharacterized. The transcript is spliced from 3 exons. NCBI's taxonomy places the organism in Eukaryota, Metazoa, Chordata, Actinopteri, Cyprinodontiformes, Fundulidae. The record is from RefSeq and is a predicted model, not a curated record.
CAUACGAGAUAGAACAGAACACAGAUGUCCCGACAGAGUCUGAUUCUGCGGAGAACAUGGGAAGGGGGAAGCGCAAAAAGAGGUCUAGGAGAGUGAUUCUGUCCAGCGAGGAAGAUGAUGAUGAUGACGACCCUACACCUCCACUACCUCCAUCCUCCCUCAGGUCAGCCAUGUCACCACCCUAAACCCCGCAAAUGCAAGUAAGGGACAACAU